This is an RNA transcript of Arvicola amphibius (Eurasian water vole), 1327 nucleotides long. It is a transcript of the gene named exosome component 7, with no coding region annotated. The transcript is spliced from 9 exons. Lineage: Eukaryota; Metazoa; Chordata; Mammalia; Rodentia; Cricetidae. The record is from RefSeq and is a predicted model, not a curated record.
AAGGGCGCAGGCUGAUGACGCACCAGCGCGCACGGUGAGCGGAGCGGCAUGGCGUCGGUGGCGCUGAGCGAGGCUGAGAAGGUCUACAUCGUUCAUGGAGUGCAGGAAGACCUCCGGGUGGAUGGCCGUGGCUGUGAGGACUACCGCUGUGUGGAAGUGGAGACGGACGUCGUGUCCAACACCAGUGGGUCUGCCAGAGUCAAGCUGGGUCAUACAGACAUCUUGGUGGGAGUGAAAGCAGAAAUGGGGACACCGAAGCUGGAGAAGCCAAAUGAAGGCUACCUGGAAUUCUUUGUUGACUGUUCAGCCAAUGCUACCCCAGAAUUUGAAGGGCGAGGAGGUGACGACCUUGGCACCGAGAUCGCUAACACCCUGUACCGGAUCUUCAACAACAAGAGCAGCAUGGACCUGAGGUCCCUCUGCAUCAGUCCUCGGGAGCACUGCUGGGUCCUCUAUGUGGAUGUGCUGCUCCUGGAAUGUGGUGGGAAUUUGUUUGAUGCUAUUUCCAUUGCUGUGAAGGCUGCUCUCUUCAAUACAAGGAUACCAAGGGUUCGCGUUCUGGAGGAUGAAGAGGGGGCAAAGGACAUUGAACUGUCUGACGAUCCUUAUGACUGCAUCCGACUGAGUGUAGAGAAUGUCCCCUGUAUCGUCACCCUGUGCAAGAUUGGCUGCCGACAUGUGGUAGAUGCCACACUUCAAGAGGAAGCCUGCUCCUUGGCCAGUUUGCUAGUGUCAGUGACCAGCAAGGGAGUCGUGACAUGCAUGAGGAAAGUGGGCAAGGGAAGCCUGGAUCCUGAGAGCAUCUUUGAAAUGAUGGAGAGCAGCAAGCGAGUGGGCAAGGUGCUGCACAUGUCCUUGCAGAGCGUUCUGCACAAGGAAGAAAGCCUGGGGCCCGAGAGGCCGAAGGUCGGGUUCCUGGGAUGAGUUGUUGCCACCCUGGCGGGCUCGGGUUAUUUCACUUUUGCAUUGAGACUGGUCAGGAAUAAGGAAGCCAUGGCCACAGAGGAGAGCCCAGGCUCCUGCCUGUGUGUCCACCAGGUCCUGCCAGCCAAGAAAUCCAGGAGACCUUCCCUUGGGUCAGGGGCUUCGUGGCCAUUUGGGCCAUUAGCCAGCUUUUCUUACCGUUCUUGGAUUUUUCUUGUUUUUAAGUCAGAGUCUUACAUAGCCAGUGAUCCCUUUGGCUUCCCAGUCUUCCUACUUGGGAAUAGGUUGCAGGCGUGUUCUAGCUUUUCUGCCUUCCUUUGUGUGUUAUGACCCCUCCCAGAUGCUUUGUAAGAUGACCGUGUUUUGUCAGCACUAUAAAAGUUGUUUAAGGAAUGGUGUCAUC